This 118-nucleotide ribosomal RNA is filed under the name Enterobacter hormaechei subsp. xiangfangensis. The record is from RNAcentral. Lineage: Bacteria; Pseudomonadati; Pseudomonadota; Gammaproteobacteria; Enterobacterales; Enterobacteriaceae.
CCUGGCGGCUUUAGCGCGGUGGUCCCACCUGACCCCAUGCCGAACUCAGAAGUGAAACGCCGUAGCGCCGAUGGUAGUGCGGCCAUAACAGCGGAGUGACACCGGUAAACCGAAAGGC